Mus musculus (house mouse) is the source of this 368-nucleotide long non-coding RNA. RefSeq annotates it as predicted gene, 54185. Lineage: Eukaryota; Metazoa; Chordata; Mammalia; Rodentia; Muridae. The transcript is spliced from 3 exons. The record is from RefSeq and is a predicted model, not a curated record.
UGACAGCUAAGAGUCUUCUAAUGACCUCCCCUCUUACAGAAAUUUAGGAGCGGCGUUUCUUACAUUAUGAACAAUGUACAGCAUGCACUUGAAACAAUUAUGGUGAAAGGUACUCUGCUUCUGAAGUUCUGCAGCUGAUCAGCCUGACCCAGUCCCUUAAAGAUGGCUUCCCCAGCCUCUAGUUGGCACCUCAAAGUGACACAGCAGGAGGCUAGGGUCAUGGGAAGUUUAAAACUAUAAUUGGGCCAUCCUUGAAGUCUUGUUUUGACAAACUCAGUCAAUAUCUUAUCUCCUGUUUUUGCUUCUGGGUCCUGUGGUGUAUAUCUUCUUUAUGACGUUUGUUUAAUGAUUUCUGUAACACCUUGGAA